This 317-nucleotide long non-coding RNA is filed under the name Glycine max (soybean). Its description in RNAcentral is "long non-coding RNA (GMAX_LNC003691)". The record is from RNAcentral. Lineage: Eukaryota; Viridiplantae; Streptophyta; Magnoliopsida; Fabales; Fabaceae.
UGGUCUGACAAGAGCUGGUUGAGGAGGAUUGGGAGAUUCAGUUGCAGACAACUGAGGAGGGUCAUCAGACAUCACUGUAACAGAGGCAGAAGAAGCCAAAUUGGAAGACUGUGCAGGAUCAAAAUGUUGGGAGACAACAGGAUCAGACCUGGAAGCCUCAACAGAAGGUGAAGAGUGGGGAGCCUCAAUAGAGGAUGAGGAAGAAGGAUUAGAAUUGAGAGGAGGAUGACAAACUGACUCAAUGACAGUUAAGGUGGUUGAAAUGAACUCAGUAGGUGUGGAACUGGAAGUAGGAGAGGAAAAGAGGGUAGGAUAAG